UACAGAGACUGCAAGCGUUAUUCGGAUUCACUGGGCGUAAAGGGUGCGCAGGCGGCCAAGUGUGUCAGGUGUGAAAUCCCGAGGCUUAACCUCGGAACUGCGCCUGAAACUACUCGACUAGAGUAUUGGAGAGGGUAACGGAAUUCACGGUGUAGCAGUGAAAUGCGUAGAUAUCGUAAGGAAGACCAGUGGCGAAGGCGGUUUCCUGGACAGUUACUGACGCUCAGGCACGAAAGCAUGGGGAGCAAAAGGG
This 253-nucleotide ribosomal RNA is filed under the name uncultured bacterium. RNAcentral describes it as "partial 16S ribosomal RNA". It matches the Rfam family "Bacterial small subunit ribosomal RNA", at positions 524 to 776 of the family's 1533-position model. The record is from RNAcentral.